UGCUUAAAUGUGGUCCAAUAUUCUUCG
RNAcentral lists this small RNA (27 nucleotides) under Bombyx mori (domestic silkworm). RNAcentral's name for it is "ovarian small RNA-34253". The record is from RNAcentral. Lineage: Eukaryota; Metazoa; Arthropoda; Insecta; Lepidoptera; Bombycidae.